RNAcentral lists this ribosomal RNA (252 nucleotides) under uncultured bacterium. RNAcentral describes it as "partial 16S ribosomal RNA". It matches the Rfam family "Bacterial small subunit ribosomal RNA", at positions 524 to 776 of the family's 1533-position model. The record is from RNAcentral.
UACGGAGGAUGCGGGCGUUAUCCGGAUUUAUUGGGUUUAAAGGGUGCGCAGGCGGCGUGUCAAGCAAGCGGUAAAAUAGCGGGGCUCAACCCCGUCGAGCCGUUUGAACUGGCGCGCUUGAGUUCAGGCGAGGUAGGCGGAAUUCGUGGUGUAGCGGUGAAAUGCAUAGAUAUCACGAAGAACUCCGAUUGCGAAGGCAGCUUACCAGUCUGCGACUGACGCUCAGGCACGAAAGUGUGGGUAUCGAACAGG